CACUCCUACGGGAGGCAGCAGUGGGGAAUAUUGCACAAUGGGCGCAAGCCUGAUGCAGCCAUGCCGCGUGUAUGAAGAAGGCCUUCGGGUUGUAAAGUACUUUCAGCGGGGAGGAAGGCGAUAAGGUUAAUAACCUUGUCGAUUGACGUUACCCGCAGAAGAAGCACCGGCUAACUCCGUGCCAGCAGCCGCGGUAAUACGGAGGGUGAAAGCGUUAAUCGGAAUUACUGGGCGUAAAGCGCACGCAGGCGGUCUGUCAAGUCGGAUGUGAAAUCCCCGGGCUCAACCUGGGAACUGCAUUCGAAACUGGCAGGCUAGAGUCUUGUAGAGGGGGGUAGAAUUCCAGGUGUAGCGGUGAAAUGCGUAGAGAUCUGGAGGAAGACCGGUGGCGAAGGCGGCCCCCUGGACAAAGACUGACGCUCAGGUGCGAAAGCGUGGGGAGCAAACAGGAUUAGAAACCCGAGUAGUCCCAUGA
RNAcentral lists this ribosomal RNA (475 nucleotides) under uncultured organism. RNAcentral's name for it is "partial 16S ribosomal RNA". It matches the Rfam family "Bacterial small subunit ribosomal RNA", at positions 334 to 800 of the family's 1533-position model. The record is from RNAcentral.